CCAGACUCCUACGGGAGGCAGCAGUGGGGAAUAUUGCACAAUGGGGGAAACCCUGAUGCAGCGACGCCGCGUGAGCGAUGAAGUAUUUCGGUAUGUAAAGCUCUAUCAGCAGGGAAGAAAAUGACGGUACCUGACUAAGAAGCCCCGGCUAACUACGUGCCAGCAGCCGCGGUAAUACGUAGGGGGCAAGCGUAAUCCGGAUUUACUGGGUGUAAAGGGAGCGUAGACGGUCCUGCAAGCCAGAUGUGAAAGCCCGGGGCUCAACCCCGGGACUGCAUUUGGAACUGUAAGGCUAGGGGGUCGGAGAGGCAGGCGGAAUUCCUAGUGUAGCGGUGAAAUGCGUAGAUAUUAGGAGGAACACCAGUGGCGAAGGCGGCCUGCUGGGCGAUGACUGACGUUGAGGCUCGAAAGCGUGGGGAGCAAACAGGAUUAGAUACCCUAGUAAG
RNAcentral lists this ribosomal RNA (446 nucleotides) under uncultured bacterium. Its description in RNAcentral is "bacterial SSU rRNA". It matches the Rfam family "Bacterial small subunit ribosomal RNA", at positions 331 to 793 of the family's 1533-position model. The record is from RNAcentral.